Molecule: ribosomal RNA, 253 nt
Filed under: uncultured bacterium
Lineage: Bacteria
Description: partial 16S ribosomal RNA
Rfam family: Bacterial small subunit ribosomal RNA
Source: RNAcentral
UACGUAGGGGGCUAGCGUUGUCCGGAUUUAUUGGGCGUAAAGAGCGUGUAGGCGGCCAGGUAGGUCUGGUGUGAAAACUCGAGGCUUAACCUCGAGAUGUCAUCGGAAACCAUCCGGCUAGAGUCCGGAAGAGGAGAGUGGAAUUCCUGGUGUAGCGGUGAAAUGCGCAGAUAUCAGGAAGAACACCAAUGGCGAAAGCAGCUCUCUGGGCAGUAACUGACGCUGAGGAGCGAAAGCGUGGGGAGCGAACAGG